RNAcentral lists this ribosomal RNA (253 nucleotides) under uncultured bacterium. Its description in RNAcentral is "partial 16S ribosomal RNA". It matches the Rfam family "Bacterial small subunit ribosomal RNA", at positions 524 to 776 of the family's 1533-position model. The record is from RNAcentral.
UACGGAGGGUGCGAGCGUUGUCCGGAAUCACUGGGCGUAAAGAGCUCGUAGGCGGCUUGUCGCGUCGACUGUGAAAUCCCGCGGCUCAACUGCGGGUCUGCAGUCGAUACGGGCAGGCUAGAGUUCGGUAGGGGAGACUGGAAUUCCUGGUGUAGCGGUGAAAUGCGCAGAUAUCAGGAGGAACACCGAUGGCGAAGGCAGGUCUCUGGGCCGAUACUGACGCUGAGGAGCGAAAGCGUGGGGAGCGAACAGG